ACAAGGAUGGCACCUCUGAUCUGGGCUGUGGGAUGAGGACAUGAAGGGGCAGGGACUUCAGUCUCACGGACCCCACAAAUUCAAGGACUGCUCCAGAGCACAAGGACCUGGCAGCCUCAAAAUAAAGAGGACAAGGACCAGCAGGCCCACUGAGGCAAAAAAGCAGAGUAAGAAAAAGUAAUAAAUAAGCCCAAUCUUAGGCGUACGGGAGAGCAGUGUGUUUGCAAAGAAUACCUGUAUUCAUGAAGAACACCUUAUAUCAUCU
This 265-nucleotide long non-coding RNA is filed under the name Cavia porcellus (domestic guinea pig). RNAcentral describes it as "lncRNA (ENSCPOG00000038515.1)". Lineage: Eukaryota; Metazoa; Chordata; Mammalia; Rodentia; Caviidae. The record is from RNAcentral.